GAUGAACGCUGGCGGCGUGCCUAACACAUGCAAGUCGAGCGGGGUUGUGGAGUAGCUUGCUACGAAGCAAUCUAGCGGCGGACGGGUGAGUAACGCGUGGGCAACCUGCCCUAUACAGGGGGAUAACACACCGAAAGGUGUGCUAAUACCCCAUAACACCGAUGCUUCGCAUGGAGCGCCGGUCAAAGAUUUAUCGGUAUAGGAUGGGCCCGCGUCUGAUUAGCUAGUUGGUGAGGUAAAGGCUCACCAAGGCGACGAUCAGUAGCCGACCUGAGAGGGUGAUCGGCCACACUGGAACUGAGACACGGUCCAGACUCCUACGGGAGGCAGCAGUGGGGAAUAUUGCACAAUGGGGGAAACCCUGAUGCAGCAACGCCGCGUGAGCGAUGAAGG
This 393-nucleotide ribosomal RNA is filed under the name uncultured bacterium. RNAcentral describes it as "bacterial SSU rRNA". It matches the Rfam family "Bacterial small subunit ribosomal RNA", at positions 28 to 414 of the family's 1533-position model. The record is from RNAcentral.